AAAUAAAUACUACUAAUCUGUUUCGCCAUUUCUCUAAUGAUAGACACAACAAGAAACCCUCAAUUCUUUCAUUUGCUUUUAGGAUUUUAUGCUCUCGACACUUUUAAGGACUAAUCUUUAAUUCUCUUCAUCACCUCAACGGGCUCUUUCAAUUUCGGGUAAGCUUUUCUCUCAAUUUUUGCUUUAAUCUUCCUUCCAAUUCUUUUUAAAUUUCUUAAUUUCAUGGCUGAAAUUCAUAGUUGUUUUUCUACUGUGUUCUUGUUCAUAUGUUCGUCUCCUUCCUUUUGUUUCUCUCUUUCAUCCUUAAAAUGUUACUUUUGCAUAAUCUCUUUAUGUUUCUUCAUAUUUUCAAAGACUUAUUUUUUCAAUUCUUUAUAUCUUCUCAGCUGGGUUGUUCUAAUUCCAGGUAUUUUGCCCCAAUUUCUUUCAAUUUCUCUUUAGACUUCUGAAUUUCAUUCCUGGAAUUCGUGGCUAAUGUCUGUAAUAGUGAAAGCGGUAGAUCUUCGAAAGGUUUUCUAUGCGUAAAAUAUAGUUGGGAGACCGAGAUAAAUUACGAUAGAUUAUAGUAGUAAUUUCAUUUGCUUUUGACUUCUUUUUGAAUUUCGAAAAUGUCCCUUCAAAUUUUGUUAUAUCAAUCUUAUGGUUCACUUUUUCGUUUUCAAUUAUUAAAAAGGUAACUUUCUAUUUUCAUCUACCGUCAAUUCUUCCAUUUACUCUUCUCUGUUACUAUCUUUCGUAGAAGCUUUAUUAUAGUUAUCGAUUGAUUGAAAAUUUUAUAAUUAUAAAUGAUCAUAUUUUUAAAAUAUUCUGCUUCUUAUUGUCACAUUAGUUCUUUUUGAGUGAGUGCAUUUUAAUUGGUGUUACUUCAACUUCGGUAUUUUUUUACCAAAGAGUGAUCAUCUAGGUUGAGAGAGGAGUCAAUAUUGCUUAAUCUCUUUUUUUUUUACACAAUAAGAAAGAAUUUGGGUUCACAAUACAUCUUCAUGCUCAACAUGAUGCACCAACCUCAGGAAGUUUUACUUCUAAUCUUAUAGAGUUCCUGAUGAUGCUUACUCUAAGUCUUAGUUGAGAAGUCAGAUGGAACUUACUCUAAACCUCGGUUGAGAACUCUGAUUGCAUGCAUUCAUAGUCAAAUGAUAAUGAAGUAUUUGCAGUUACAUGUAAGUUUGAAUUUUACCUCUAUGCGAUUGAUGUUUUCUAUAAGAAAUACAACUGAGGAAGUUUUCAUUGAAAACUUUUUGCAUUACUUAAUUAGUUUAACUUUUCAGCAGACAAUUUGACAGAGAUUGCAAAUUUCUGAGGGCUGGGUGAAUCAUGAAUUAUAGUUUUUGGGUUGAUGAUAUCUUCUAAUAUGAUAAAUUUAUGAUAUAGGUGGCAAAGUUUUUCACCUUUCUUCUUGCCCUGUAUGCUAUAAAUUUGUGGCAUAUUAUUGUAAAUUGGUAUUAUUAUUAAUUUUAGCCAAGAGCACUAAAUUGAAUCUCUUCUUGCUUUUCAGGAAAAAAUAUACAUAUAGAGUGAGAAUUUCACACAUACCUAUCGUUUCCUUGAAGUUGAUUUACAAGGCAUGUAUCGAGUUUUUACAACCAGUAUGAAUGGCUCAUUUACUUUUUAUUAUUUUGAGCUAUUGGGAAGUUAUUUUUACGCAAAUAAUUAUAGAAAAAAAAUCUAUCUGAUAAUCCUUUGUAACUUUCACCUAUUAUUUUUCAAGUGCUAACAAUUCUUUUAAAAUUAAAUAGACUGUAGAAAAGCAGUGCAAUAUGUCUUCUUAUUAGUGAUGCACACCUUUAAAGAAAAUAAUACUUCUUAUUUCCUUUUUAAUAUUUGUGUCUGUAUACCAUUUAGAACUAUAUCGUGUAUCGCUAUUAUGAGACAAAUAGUCUUGUGACUAUUAAUGAUUCUCCAUGUAAUUGAGGUUAGUUAUUGUAACUACUAAGAGUUGGCUUUGUUUGUUGUUAAAAUAUUUUUGGGUAGUUUAGAAGACAGCAUUUGUGAAAAGGCUCAAGUGAAGCAAUGUCUUAUUGUCGAGUCACUCAGAAGAAGCUUACCGGAUUAUUGCGCUUCAAAUACUUUAUGAAGUCAAGGCAGUAAACCAUCUUGAUAUGUUCCUUUAUUUCAUGUUCUUUUGGUUCAUAUCUCUCAGCUUUAGUUGAAUUCUAGAACGUUGUCAAAACUGUUGAAACUACCAACAUUGAUUCAUUUAAGUUUGGUCCCUAAUUUGUCAUUUUGGUCUGAUAUUCAUGUCUCAGCACAUGUUGCUUUGUACUGAGAUAUUUUUCAGGAUCACAAGCAUCAAACCUUAAGGUACUGAUAGAUUCUACACCUCAAGGGAGAUAAAUAUUUUUGGUUAAUUUAAGAGUUACACGCAGUUGGUGAUUUGUCAAAUCAAAAGAAAAAUUCUUAAUCUUCAUAUUAAUACAUCACAAU
RNAcentral lists this long non-coding RNA (2424 nucleotides) under Nicotiana tabacum (common tobacco). RNAcentral describes it as "long non-coding RNA (NTAB_LNC005462)". The record is from RNAcentral. Lineage: Eukaryota; Viridiplantae; Streptophyta; Magnoliopsida; Solanales; Solanaceae.